Saimiri boliviensis boliviensis (Bolivian squirrel monkey) is the source of this 170-nucleotide non-coding RNA. NCBI's taxonomy places the organism in Eukaryota, Metazoa, Chordata, Mammalia, Primates, Cebidae. The record is from RefSeq and is a predicted model, not a curated record.
AAGAAAACUCUACCUGGGCUAAAGAAAUCUACCAGUGAGGAAACAACUCCCGGCUGCUGCCAGACCACAGGCCACGUGAGGAGGAGCCUCCCUAGAGGACUUCCAAAGCAAACCCACCCCCGCCAGACCAGGAAGAGCUUCCUACCUCCCAGAGAAACAGACCUCAGCCC